GACGAACGCUGGCGGCGUGCUUAACACAUGCAAGUCGAACGGAAAGGCCCUGCUUUUGUGGGGUGCUCGAGUGGCGAACGGGUGAGUAACACGUGAGUAACCUGCCCUUGACUUUGGGAUAACUUCAGGAAACUGGGGCUAAUACAGGAUAGGAGAUCCUGCUGCAUGGUGGGGGUUGGACAGUUUCGGCGGUUGGGGAUGGACUCGCGGCUUAUCAGCUUGUUGGUGGGGUAGUAGCUUACCAAGGCUUUGACGGGUAGCCGGCCUGAGAGGGUGACCGGCGACAUUGGGACUGAGAUACGGCCCAGACUCCUACGGGAGGCAGCAGUGGGGAAUAUGGCACAAUGGGCGGAAGCGUGAUGCAGCGACGCCGCGUGCGGGAUGACGGCCUUCGGGUUGUAAACCGCUUUCGCCUGUGACGAAGCGUGAGUGACGGUAAUGGGUAAAGAAGCACCGGCUAACUACGUG
This 468-nucleotide ribosomal RNA is filed under the name uncultured bacterium. RNAcentral's name for it is "partial 16S ribosomal RNA". It matches the Rfam family "Bacterial small subunit ribosomal RNA", at positions 28 to 507 of the family's 1533-position model. The record is from RNAcentral.